This 1223-nucleotide ribosomal RNA is filed under the name Psychrobacter sp. DAB_AL43B. Its description in RNAcentral is "bacterial SSU rRNA". It matches the Rfam family "Bacterial small subunit ribosomal RNA", at positions 90 to 1311 of the family's 1533-position model. Lineage: Bacteria; Pseudomonadati; Pseudomonadota; Gammaproteobacteria; Moraxellales; Moraxellaceae. The record is from RNAcentral.
GACGAGCGGCGGACGGGUGAGUAAUACUUAGGAAUCUACCUAGUAGUGGGGGAUAGCUCGGGGAAACUCGAAUUAAUACCGCAUACGACCUACGGGAGAAAGGGGGCAACUUGUUGCUCUCGCUAUUAGAUGAGCCUAAGUCGGAUUAGCUAGAUGGUGGGGUAAAGGCCUACCAUGGCGACGAUCUGUAGCUGGUCUGAGAGGAUGAUCAGCCACACCGGGACUGAGACACGGCCCGGACUCCUACGGGAGGCAGCAGUGGGGAAUAUUGGACAAUGGGGGAAACCCUGAUCCAGCCAUGCCGCGUGUGUGAAGAAGGCCUUUUGGUUGUAAAGCACUUUAAGCAGUGAAGAAGACUCCAUGGUUAAUACCCAUGGACGAUGACAUUAGCUGCAGAAUAAGCACCGGCUAACUCUGUGCCAGCAGCCGCGGUAAUACAGAGGGUGCAAGCGUUAAUCGGAAUUACUGGGCGUAAAGGGAGCGUAGGUGGCUCGAUAAGUCAGAUGUGAAAUCCCCGGGCUCAACCUGGGAACUGCAUCUGAUACUGUUGAGCUAGAGUAUGUGAGAGGAAGGUAGAAUUCCAGGUGUAGCGGUGAAAUGCGUAGAGAUCUGGAGGAAUACCGAUGGCGAAGGCAGCCUUCUGGCAUAAUACUGACACUGAGGCUCGAAAGCGUGGGUAGCAAACAGGAUUAGAUACCCUGGUAGUCCACGCCGUAAACGAUGUCUACUAGUCGUUGGGUCCCUUGAGGACUUAGUGACGCAGCUAACGCAAUAAGUAGACCGCCUGGGGAGUACGGCCGCAAGGUUAAAACUCAAAUGAAUUGACGGGGGCCCGCACAAGCGGUGGAGCAUGUGGUUUAAUUCGAUGCAACGCGAAGAACCUUACCUGGUCUUGACAUAUCUAGAAUCCUGCAGAGAUGCGGGAGUGCCUUCGGGAAUUAGAAUACAGGUGCUGCAUGGCUGUCGUCAGCUCGUGUCGUGAGAUGUUGGGUUAAGUCCCGCAACGAGCGCAACCCUUGUCCUUAGUUACCAGCGGGUUAAGCCGGGAACUCUAAGGAUACUGCCAGUGACAAACUGGAGGAAGGCGGGGACGACGUCAAGUCAUCAUGGCCCUUACGACCAGGGCUACACACGUGCUACAAUGGUAGGUACAGAGGGCAGCUACACAGCGAUGUGAUGCGAAUCUCAAAAAGCCUAUCGUAGUCCGGAUUGGAGUCUGCAAC